Molecule: unclassified non-coding RNA, 203 nt
Organism: Panthera pardus (leopard)
Lineage: Eukaryota; Metazoa; Chordata; Mammalia; Carnivora; Felidae
Source: Ensembl
GCUUUGGGAGACACCCUGAAGGAAAGGUGACUUCUUUGUUUGAAACUAACAACCACCACAUGAGACAAACAAAUUAAGUACAGUUAUUUUUCAAAGAACACAAAUUAAGUGUUCGAAGAGUUUGCACUUUCUCCUUGCAUUGUGUUGCUCAUGAAGAAAGAAGUUUGAAAGGAUGGAUAAAACACCAUCAGAACAAAAGCUGG